Molecule: ribosomal RNA, 399 nt
Filed under: uncultured bacterium
Lineage: Bacteria
Description: partial 16S ribosomal RNA
Rfam family: Bacterial small subunit ribosomal RNA
Source: RNAcentral
CCUACGGGCGGCAGCAGUGAGGAAUAUUGGUCAAUGGGCGCGAGCCUGAACCAGCCAAGUAGCGUGAAGGAUGACUGCCCUACGGGUUGUAAACUUCUUUUAUCAAGGAAUAAAGUGCGGCACGUGUGCCUUUUUGUAUGUACUUUAUGAAUAAGGAUCGGCUAACUCCGUGCCAGCAGCCGCGGUAAUACGGAGGAUCCGAGCGUUAUCCGGAUUUAUUGGGUUUAAAGGGAGCGUAGAUGGGUUGUUAAGUCAGUUGUGAAAGUUUGCGGCUCAACCGGAAAAUUGCAAUUGAUACUGGUAGGCUUGAGUACAGUUGAGGUAGGCAGAAUUCGAUGUGUAGCGGUGAAAUGCUUAGAGAUGACGAAGAAUUCCGAUUGCGAAGGCAGCUUACUAAAC